This is a non-coding RNA of Acanthosepion pharaonis, 114 nucleotides long. The record is from the annotation of a GenBank genome assembly. NCBI's taxonomy places the organism in Eukaryota, Metazoa, Mollusca, Cephalopoda, Sepiida, Sepiidae.
UUAUGGCCAUAUCACCUUGAAACACCAGUUCACGUAUGAUCACCAAAGUUAAACAAUGUCAAGCCUGGUCAGUACAUAGAUGGAUUACUGCUUUGGAAUAACAAGUGCUGUAAU